RNAcentral lists this ribosomal RNA (468 nucleotides) under uncultured bacterium. Its description in RNAcentral is "partial 16S ribosomal RNA". It matches the Rfam family "Bacterial small subunit ribosomal RNA", at positions 28 to 507 of the family's 1533-position model. The record is from RNAcentral.
GACGAACGCUGGCGGCGUGCUUAACACAUGCAAGUCGAACGGAAAGGCCCUGCUUUUGUGGGGUGCUCGAGUGGCGAACGGGUGAGUAACACGUGAGUAACCUGCCCUUGACUUUGGGAUAACUUCAGGAAACUGGGGCUAAUACCGGAUAGGAGCUCCUGCUUCAUGGUGGGGGUUGGAAAGUUUCGGCGGUUGGGGAUGGACUCGCGGCUUAUCAGCUUGUUGGUGGGGUAGUGGCUUACCAAGGCUUUGACGGGUAGCCGGCCUGAGAGGGUGACCGGCCACAUUGGGACUGAGAUACGGCCCAGACUCCUACGGGAGGCAGCAGUGGGGAAUAUUGCACAAUGGGCGGAAGCCUGAUGCAGCAACGCCGCGUGCGGGAUGACGGCCUUCGGGUUGUAAACCGCUUUCGCCUGUGACGAAGAGUGAGUGACGGUAAUGGGUAAAGAAGCACCGGCUAACUACGUG